This 1486-nucleotide long non-coding RNA is filed under the name Homo sapiens (human). RNAcentral describes it as "HSALNT0400819". The record is from RNAcentral. Lineage: Eukaryota; Metazoa; Chordata; Mammalia; Primates; Hominidae.
AUAGAUGGAGAGGGUGGUGGUGUUAGGGGAACAGCUCCAAGCGGGGAUGCAGGGUGCAGGGAUGAUGGCAGCAGUCACCAUCACCACCCUCCACCAGCAACGUUAUUCCCACUCUGACCUGUGUCACUCUCAUGGCAGCCCCAGAGACAAACCAGGGCAAGGAGAACCACCCCAACAGGUGCACAUCCCAAGGCACAGAGCACUGAAGAUGAAAAAGAGGAGAUGUCUAGUCAAGCCACCUUCGCUUCUCCCUUGCCUGGCUCUACAGCCUCUGAACAGCCAACCUCUACCCAAAGCCCACAGGUCUGGGUGAGUUCCCUGUGGUGCUAUAAGCCCGGUCUUAGUCACAGAGGUGACUUCCCUCUGUUACAACUAAGGCAUAGCAGGCAGCAACUGCCAGAGAGCUAUAAUAACUCACUAAUCCUAUUCACUGGGCUGCUCUGACUCAUUCAGGUGCCUCCUAGAUCCCUCCUGGAUCCCAGUGUCCACUUUCUGGCUGAGACUUGGGCCACUGUACUUAACAGGAUGUCCAGUCUGGGCCCCUCCUAGCCCAACAUGCACAACUGCUCAGGCCCUGGGGAGGCCCACAGUACAGAUCCUCCUCAAGCCAGGGACAUCCAGAAGAAUGGCCAAGCUCCCACACUAGGGACCAGGGGCAGGAAAAAAUUGCAUCUAGUCUCCUCUGUGAUGGGACACUACCUUCCCCAACCACCCUGGACCUUCCAGAUACCUUUCAGGUACUGACUCACCAAUAGCAGACAGGGUGAGAUACAGCCAGAUAGAGAAACUAGAAUGCUGUGGAGUGUUCAGGAAGAUUAGGAGAAUUAGAGACCAGGAAGAAGAGCAGUAAGUCCCACAGCUGGGCACAAGAAUUGAGCCAGGUAUAGCCAGAGUUGUAGGAUUCUACCUAUAUGGGUAGUGUUCCCAGCCAGUGCAGCAUGACAGAGUCAUCUCCUUAGGUCAAGGGAGGACGAGCUUUGUGCAGGAGCUGGCAGGGACCUGCCAAAAGCUGUUUAUCUGGCUACUUCUGGGGCAAAGUGGUGGCUGGCAGCCCAAGGACGCUUAUCUGCAAGGCUGCUUAAAAAUUCAUGUUAACUCAAUUCAGGACAAGAAAUGGACAAUCUCAGCUUAUUAAAGUCAGAUCAGGUAAUUCUGGAAGAACCACUGGAAGAGCAUCCUGAAAGAUUAAUGUUUCUCAGAACACAUGUUGGAAAACUCUGCCCUAUAUCAUGUUGACUCCAUCUCAGAAGACAGGAUUGGAUUAUAAACAAGACCAGAAGACAGGAUUGGAUUAUAAACAAGACCUAAAAGCAGGAGUCUGGGAGCUGUGGACUGAGUUAAAGGAGAGGAGAAAGGCCAGAGACCUGCCCCACCGCCGCCCGCCCCGGGUCCUAACUCCACUGCUGAUGCCCUCAGUGAUCUUGGCCAAGUCCCUGCCCCCUCCAGGCCUGUCGUGAAUUAAGGAAGGUGUUAAUUAGAUGAGGAG